GGGGAAUAUGGGACAAUGGGGGGAACCCUGAUCCAGCCAUGCCGUGGGUGUGAAGAAGGCCUUAUGGUUGUAAAGCACUUUAAGCGGGGAGGAGGCUCUUCUAGUUAAUACCUAGGAUGAGUGGACGUUACCCGCAGAAUAAGCACCGGCUAACUCUGUGCCAGCAGCCGCGGUAAUACAGAGGGUGCGAGCGUUAAUCGGAUUUACUGGGCGUAAAGCGUACGUAGGCGGCUUUUUAAGUCGGAUGUGAAAUCCCUGAGCUUAACUUAGGAAUUGCAUUCGAUGCUGGGAAGCUAGAGUAUGGGAGAGGAUGGUAGAAUUCCAGGUGUAGCGGUGAAAUGCGUAGAUAUCUGGAGGAAUACCGAUGGCGAAGGCAGCCAUCUGGCCUAAUACUGACGCUGAGGUACGAAAGCAUGGGGAGCAAAC
RNAcentral lists this ribosomal RNA (426 nucleotides) under uncultured bacterium. Its description in RNAcentral is "bacterial SSU rRNA". It matches the Rfam family "Bacterial small subunit ribosomal RNA", at positions 356 to 773 of the family's 1533-position model. The record is from RNAcentral.